UACGUAGGGUGCAAGCGUUGUCCGGAUUUAUUGGGCGUAAAGAGCGUGUAGGCGGCCAGGUAGGUGGGUUGUGAAAACUGGAGGCUCAACCUUCAGACGUCGACCCAAACCCCCUGGCUAGAGUCCGGAAGAGGAGAGUGGAAUUCCUGGGGUAGCGGUGAAAUGCGCAGAUAUCAGGAAGAACACCCGUGGCGAAGGCGGCUCUCUGGGACGGUACUGACGCUGAGACGCGAAAGCGUGGGGAGCGAACAGG
RNAcentral lists this ribosomal RNA (253 nucleotides) under uncultured bacterium. RNAcentral describes it as "partial 16S ribosomal RNA". It matches the Rfam family "Bacterial small subunit ribosomal RNA", at positions 524 to 776 of the family's 1533-position model. The record is from RNAcentral.